Molecule: long non-coding RNA, 1131 nt
Organism: Capsicum annuum
Lineage: Eukaryota; Viridiplantae; Streptophyta; Magnoliopsida; Solanales; Solanaceae
Exons: 2
Source: RefSeq, a predicted model, not a curated record
CCUAAAAUCCAUCCUCUCCAUUAGAGUCUAGCAACCGACCCAACCCUUUUUCUUCUCCAAACCCGAUAAAUAACUUAAACAACACCGUAACAUCAUCUUCAACAACAAUAUCGAUCAACAACAACCUAACCACGAUAGCCAACAUCAGUGUUAACAAUCUACUUCAAUAAUGAUACAAACAAACAUUGAUAAUACCGGCAACAAUUAGAGUCUUUUAUAGCACCAACAGACAACAAUAACUUGACAACAAUAAUAUCAGCAAGAAGCAAUAAUUUCAAUGCAAAACCAAACCAAAACUCGGCGACCCAACCCAAUACCAGCUGCCUGUACCCGCGAUUUAGCUUUCUAAGGAUACCUCAUCAUCCUUUCAAUUUGAAAAUCAAAUUCUUGUACCAAAACAGUACAAUUCAGCUCACCCCUCAAUAAAAUCCCCAAAUCCCUUGAAUUUUCACUCCCACAUUGCCAAAUUAGUCAAGAAUUGGGAUUUUGGGGUUCUAUAUAAAUCCCCUACCUCUCAUUAUUUUAGGGGGGUUUUCAGAAUCAAAAAAAGGGGGCUAAACGUUCUUUUCACUCGGCUAGGAUUUUGGACUUCAUGUUCCCAGUCUUAGAGUUGUGAGAAUUGUAACUCAAGUGCCAUUUUCAUUGCUGUUUUUGCAUAAAGAAAGGUGGUGAAGUGAAGUUGUUGUUAAGUCAUCGUCCCGGUUCGCUGCCCACAAAAAGAUUCUAUUUUUUGCAUUUCUCAAUGGGCCAAAGAGUCCUACAUCAUCUUCGAGUCCAAAGCUUCAACCAAAGUUCAAAAUGGACCAAACAUAUGAAGAUACAAAAUUGUAUACAAAGAUUACAACAAAUAUACGUGGAAUACAAGUGAUAUACGAGGAAAGGAGUGCUAAUAUUCAGCUAGAGGAUCAAAUUGGGUGUAUAUGACUAAUUUUAAGUCAUGUGUACAUCAAUUAUAUAGAAAAAUGUGAAAUAAUUGGAUUGUGAUAUACAACUAAUAUACAUAGUUGAAAAGGAAUAAAAAAUAGGUCCAAAGAGCAGGCUAGAAUUGAAAUGAACUAAAAAGGGGCCUGAAUCUCAUAUUUUCUCCCUUUAUUUCCUUCUCUUAAUUCAAUUAUUUAUUUCUCUAUUGAA